UGCAUGUCCCAUGUCCCACCCGCCACUGCCAUGCUGCCCCACUCUCUGGAGAGCUCAGCCUCAUCAGUUGGAGAGGAGCAGAAUAGGCUGAUUUUUAGCACCUUUUGCGGGGUGUUCUCUGUCCCCAUGAGACUUUUAUUUUGACACUUCUAUGAAAUGCAAAUUCACAAGAUUGGGUGAAGCUUUGCUGCAUAGAAACCUUCAGCUCCGUGUGGAGGCUGGUGACAGGCUUGCUGCGCUGUGAUGCACUUCCCCAACAUAAUAAGACAACAGGUGUGUGCGCUCGGCACAUUUCAGUAGCUUUAUUUACUUCAGUCUAUCUAGAAAUAACCAGAUCCCUUUUGUUUGCUGCUGCACUUGACUGGGUGAGGGAGCUCAGGUCUGCUGUGAGGAGAUGGAUACUGGGGGGCUGGAAGGAAGCAUCUCCCUGAUCUGUUACUCAGAUCAGACUGUCCCAGGUGUGUAACAAAUUCUGAGGGACAGCUUGGACUCAGCUUCUGCACUGAGUUGCUGAGAAGGAGGUUUGUUACGUGGUGCAACACAGAGCCCUGUUUAAAAGUUUAAAAGCUGUCCCUGAUUUGCAAACUCUCCCAGUGAACCAGGGUGGGGUUUUAACCCAGAACUAUUAGUUCUUCAGGGGUGUGGGACAAGGGAGAGGGAGCCCCUGGAGAGAAGCAAAGCUCAGUCUGGGGGGGUUCAUACUGCAGGUGGUAUUUUGUGAUGUGGGAAGAGGCAGGACGAGGGGCUCGCUGCCUUUGCUGGAGGUGCUGGCUGGGACACCCUGCUCAGGGCUGGCUGUGCUGGGGAACAGGAGGAGCAGCAUCAGCAUCGUCUGCGACUUCCCCAAAUUGUCCUGGAUUCAAAACAACCCUUUGGGGCGGCGGGGCUGGUGCAGGGGAGAAAGAUGUGAUUGGUGGGACAGGGCCAGCACUGCGCUUAAAGCCUCCAGCUGCCGUUGCUGCGAGCAGAUGGGGAAGUGUCACAGCACACUGUGAGCCCAGCCCUGACCAUGCAGCCCCUCCAGCGUGCCCACCUGCUCCUCCUGCUCACCCUGCUUGUCCUCUGCAUGCCCCUCGGCCGGGCAAAGGAGGGGGAGGGGGUCACGGCCACCUCCCACACCACUGCAAGCCAGAUCGUAAGCAGCCUGAGCCCUCCCUGUGGCAGCCCACUCCUCUCCCUCGCCUUGGGGCUGGCUGUGGCUUUCUUCCUGCGGCUGCGCUGACCCCCUACGCCCCCUCCCCAGGGAGACACCCCCAGGAUGGCAUCCCUGGCCUUGGCACCUCCUUGGACCCUUGCAGCACAGAGGAGCAGCCUGUACCCUGCCCUGCCUGCCUCUGCUCCCCUCAGCCUCAAAAUAACCCCCCUAAACUGCCCCAGCUCGGGAACAGGCCUGCUGUGAGAUUCUGAGAAAUAAAGCUGGUGU
This 1423-nucleotide long non-coding RNA is filed under the name Athene cunicularia (burrowing owl). Its description in RNAcentral is "lncRNA (ENSACUG00000001451.1)". The record is from RNAcentral. Lineage: Eukaryota; Metazoa; Chordata; Aves; Strigiformes; Strigidae.